GCCCGGGUGGUGAAAUUGGCAGACACGCUAGUUUCAGGUACUAGUGCUCGCGAGGGCUUGGGGGUUCAAGUCCCCCCUCGGGCA
RNAcentral lists this transfer RNA (84 nucleotides) under Spirochaetaceae bacterium. RNAcentral's name for it is "tRNA-Leu". It matches the Rfam family "tRNA". From Rfam's summary of the family: Transfer RNA (tRNA) molecules are approximately 80 nucleotides in length. Their secondary structure includes four short double-helical elements and three loops (D, anti-codon, and T loops). Lineage: Bacteria; Pseudomonadati; Spirochaetota; Spirochaetia; Spirochaetales; Spirochaetaceae. The record is from RNAcentral.